Molecule: ribosomal RNA, 200 nt
Filed under: uncultured bacterium
Lineage: Bacteria
Description: partial 16S ribosomal RNA
Rfam family: Bacterial small subunit ribosomal RNA
Source: RNAcentral
AGAGUUUGAUCCUGGCUCAGAACGAACGCUGGCGGCGCGCCUAACACAUGCAAGUCGAGCGUGAAAGUGUAGCAAUACAUGAGUAAAGCGGCGCACGGGUGAGUAACGCGUAGGUGAUCUACCUUUGUGACCGGAAUAACCAGCCGAAAGGUUGGCUAAUACUGGAUAGAGCGCACGAGCUGUAGAGGUUUGUGCGGGAA